RNAcentral lists this long non-coding RNA (508 nucleotides) under Ananas comosus (pineapple). RNAcentral's name for it is "long non-coding RNA (ACOM_LNC008831)". Lineage: Eukaryota; Viridiplantae; Streptophyta; Magnoliopsida; Poales; Bromeliaceae. The record is from RNAcentral.
AUUUCCGGCGCGUUUCUCGGCGAAAUUCGCCGACGGAAUGCGGGUUCGGUACGAAAUUCUUCCGACGGCGCUUCAUGAUGAUUGGUUAUGUCGCUGAGCCUUGUUGGCUGAUCAACCACGUCAUUUCGAGGCUUCGGAAAUGACGGGUGAGCGACGGUGGGUUCCGGUGUCGAAUUUGGCACUUCCGAGAACCCGAAUCGGGACGAUUAUUUGUCGAUAAUCGUUUCGGAGCGAGUUAGUGUUCUGGCUGCCAAGUGACAUGAAAAUAUGUGUUUAGUUGCAGCGGGUAACUCGUGGUACAAGUCGGUGAGUUCCAGGACAGUUCGUGGGUCCCGGCGGAGUCUCAGUGCGAUUUUCGGGACUUCCGGCGAGUUACGGUAAUUAGUUUCGGGAAACCGAUCUCUGUGGCAUUAUUUGUGGAGUUGUGAUACUGUGGUUAUUAGUUCUGGGUUAGAUACUAAUCUGGUGAACCCUCUUUAGGUCCGGUUGACAUUCUUUCGCAAUCAGG